UGGGGGAUAUUGCACAAUGGGGGGAAACCCUGAUGCAGCGACGCCGCGUGAGCGAUGAAGUAUUUCGGUAUGUAAAGCUCUAUCAGCAGGGAAGAAAAUGACGGUACCUGACUAAGAAGCCCCGGCUAACUACGUGCC
This 138-nucleotide ribosomal RNA is filed under the name uncultured bacterium. Its description in RNAcentral is "partial 16S ribosomal RNA". It matches the Rfam family "Bacterial small subunit ribosomal RNA", at positions 355 to 509 of the family's 1533-position model. The record is from RNAcentral.